RNAcentral lists this ribosomal RNA (235 nucleotides) under uncultured bacterium. Its description in RNAcentral is "partial 16S ribosomal RNA". It matches the Rfam family "Bacterial small subunit ribosomal RNA", at positions 1258 to 1500 of the family's 1533-position model. The record is from RNAcentral.
CGACCGGAUGCGGAUCUCGAAAGCCUGUCCCAGUUCGGACUGGAGUCUGCAACCCGACUCCACGAAGUUGGAUUCGCUAGUAAUCGCGCAUCAGCCAUGGCGCGGUGAAUACGUUCCCGGGCCUUGUACACACCGCCCGUCAAGCCAUGGGAGCCGGGGGGCGCCUGAAGUCCGGGACCGCGAGGACCGGCCUAGGGCGAAACUGGUAACUGGGGCUAAGUCGUAACAAGGUAAC